AGAGGGUGCUUCGGGCGAGGUCGCGGUCUAAGUCCAUUGGAACAUGGCGUCGUAGAGGGUGAGAAUCCCGUAUGCGACCGCGGACCGAGCCCAUGUGAAGCCUCUUCGACGAGUCGAGUUGUUUGGGAAUGCAGCUCAAAAUGGGUGGUAUAUUUCAUCUAAAGCUAAAUACUGGCUGGAGACCGAUAGCGCACAAGUAGAGUGAUCGAAAGAUGAAAAGCACUUUGGAAAGAGAGUCAAACAGUACGUGAAAUUGUUGAAAGGGAAGCGCGUGCAACCAGACCUGCCCGGGGGUGAUCAGCCGCUGUUCUCCAGCGGUGCACUCGCCCCGCGAUCAGGCCAGCAUCGGUUCCGGCGGUCGGACAAAGGCCCCGGGAAUGUAGCUCCUUUCGGGGAGUCUUAUAGCCCUGGACGCAAUGCGGCCAGCCGGGACCGAGGACCGCGCUUCGGCUAGGAUGCUGGCGUAAUGGUUGUAGGCGACCC
RNAcentral lists this ribosomal RNA (483 nucleotides) under Oropogon lopezii. RNAcentral's name for it is "eukaryotic LSU rRNA". It matches the Rfam family "Eukaryotic large subunit ribosomal RNA", at positions 151 to 650 of the family's 3401-position model. Lineage: Eukaryota; Fungi; Ascomycota; Lecanoromycetes; Lecanorales; Parmeliaceae. The record is from RNAcentral.